GGGGAUAUAGCUCAGCUGGUAGAGUGCUUGCCUUCUAAGCAUGAGGACCUGGGUUUAACUCCCAGUACCACAA
Molecule: transfer RNA, 73 nt
Filed under: Marmota monax (woodchuck)
Lineage: Eukaryota; Metazoa; Chordata; Mammalia; Rodentia; Sciuridae
Rfam family: tRNA
About the family: Transfer RNA (tRNA) molecules are approximately 80 nucleotides in length. Their secondary structure includes four short double-helical elements and three loops (D, anti-codon, and T loops).
Source: Rfam by way of RNAcentral